Molecule: long non-coding RNA, 1362 nt
Organism: Mus musculus (house mouse)
Lineage: Eukaryota; Metazoa; Chordata; Mammalia; Rodentia; Muridae
Product: predicted gene 13291
Exons: 2
Source: RefSeq, marked validated
AUUCUCUCCUUGCUCACAGAGCCCAGUGUUCAAUGUUUCUUUAUCUUUCUUGUCUCCUCUUCUAGUCCAUCAUCAAGCCACCUCAAGAAGAAGGGAGGACCGUUCUCUUCUUCUUGUGACUGUGCCUUCCAAAGGUCAAUCUCAGAUAUCCUGAAAUAGAUGUGCGUUCCUAUGGACUGGGACCCUUCUGGAUGGACCCUCUCAAUGUUACCCACAGCAUAGCAGAAUGACUACAGAGUUCUGCUCACUGAUGAGUGGUGGCUGUUGUUCUUGCUGCAUCUGAGGUGGUAUGGACCUAGUGUGCCUUUCCUCCUGUGGUUACUGACCACCUGGCUGCAGUGAUCAUCACUCUCCUGGCUGCAGUGAGCUGCAAUGGUCAUCACUCUCCUGCUGCAAUGAUCAUCACUCUUCUGGCUGCAGUGAACUGCAGUGGUCAUCACUCUCCUGGCUGCAGUGGUCAUCACUCUCCUGGCUGCAGUGAGCUGCAGUGGUCAUAACCCUCCUGGCUGCAGUGAGCUGCAAUGGUCAUCACCCUCCUGGCUGCAGUGAGCUGCAGUGGUCAUCACUCUCCUGCUACAAUGAUCAUCACUCUUCUGGCUGCAGUGAGCUGCAGUGGUCAUCACUCUCCUGGCUGCAGUGAGCUGCAGUGAUCAUAACCCUCCUGGCUGCAGUGAGCUGCAGUGGUCAUCACCCUCCUGGCUGCAGUGAGCUGCAGUGGUCAUCACUCUCCUGGCUGCAGUGAGCUGCAGUGGUCAUCACCCUCCUGGCUGCAGUGAGCUGCAGUGGUCAUCACUCUCCUGCUGCAAUGUUCAUCACUCUCCUGGCUGCAGUGAGCUGCAGUGGUCAUCACCCUCCUGGCUGCAGUGAGCUGCAGUGGUCAUCACUCUCCUGGCUGCAGUGAGCUGCAGUGGUCAUCACCCUCCUGGCUGCAGUGAGCUGCAGUGGUCAUCACUCUCCUGCUGCAAUGAUCAUCACUCUUCUGGCUGCAGUGAGCUGCAGUGGUCAUCCCUCUCCUGGCUUCAGUGAGCUGUAGUGGUCAUCACUUUCCUGGUAGCAGUGAGCUGCAGUGGUUAUCACUCUCCUGUCUACAAUGUUCAUCACUCUCCUGGCUGCAGUGAGGUGUAGUGGUCAUCACUCUCCUGGUAGCAGUGGUCCAGUGCAGCUCUGCCCUCCCUACACUAGGUCCUAGGAAGGGCAUCUCUGCUUUUCAACAGGCUGCAGUGUCCAUGGGUCAUGGCACUCUAAACUAUGAAGCUCCUAGGAAGGAAUAUUCAAGGACAAAGUCAGAGGAUCAACUUUAUUUGCUCUAGCUAAAAUAUUUUUGACAAUAAUUAAAGCAGAGAUGAAAAGAUCCAAACAAAA